CCUACGGGAGGCUGCAGUGAGGAAUAUUGGUCAAUGGGCGGGAGCCUGAACCAGCCAAGUCGCGUGAGGGAAGACGGUCCUAUGGAUUGUAAACCUCUUUAGGCGGGGAGCAAUGCCGGGCACGCGUGCCCGGAGGAAGAGUACCCGCAGAAUAAGCAUCGGCUAACUCCGUGCCAGCAGCCGCGGUAAUACGGAGGAUGCGAGCGUUAUCCGGAUUUAUUGGGUUUAAAGGGUGCGUAGGCGGAUUUUUAAGUCAGCGGUAAAAUGUCCGGGCUCAACCCGGGCCGGCCGUUGAAACUGCUCUGCUAGAGUGGGCGAGAAGUAGGCGGAAUGCGUGGUGUAGCGGUGAAAUGCAUAGAUAUCACGCAGAACUCCGAUUGCGAAGGCAGCAUACCAGCGCCCAACUGACGCUCAUGCACGAAAGCGUGGGUAUCGAACAGGAUUAGAUACCCGGGUAGUC
This 460-nucleotide ribosomal RNA is filed under the name uncultured bacterium. Its description in RNAcentral is "partial 16S ribosomal RNA". It matches the Rfam family "Bacterial small subunit ribosomal RNA", at positions 338 to 795 of the family's 1533-position model. The record is from RNAcentral.